Molecule: ribosomal RNA, 546 nt
Filed under: uncultured bacterium
Lineage: Bacteria
Description: bacterial SSU rRNA
Rfam family: Bacterial small subunit ribosomal RNA
Source: RNAcentral
CGCUGGCGGCAGGCUUAACACAUGCAAGUCGAACGCACCUUUCGGGGUGAGUGGCAGACGGGUGAGUAACGCGUGGGAAUCUACCCUUCUCUACGGGAUAGCUCCGGGAAACUGGAAUUAAUACCGUAUACGUCCGCAAGGAGAAAGAUUUAUCGGAGAGGGAUGAGCCCGCGUUGGAUUAGCUAGUUGGUGGGGUAAAGGCCUACCAAGGCGACGAUCCAUAGCUGGUCUGAGAGGAUGAUCAGCCACAUUGGGACUGAGACACGGCCCAAACUCCUACGGGAGGCAGCAGUGGGGAAUAUUGGACAAUGGGCGCAAGCCUGAUCCAGCCAUGCCGCGUGAGUGAUGAAGGUCUUAGGAUUGUAAAGCUCUUUCGCCGGUGAAGAUAAUGACUGUAGCCGGUAAAGAAGCCCCGGCUAACUUCGUGCCAGCAGCCGCGGUAAUACGAAGGGGGCUAGCGUUGUUCGGAAUUACUGGGCGUAAAGCGCACGUAGGCGGAUAUUUAAGUCAGGGGUGAAAUCCCGCAGCUCAACUGCGGAACUGCCU